Molecule: long non-coding RNA, 1398 nt
Filed under: Anas platyrhynchos platyrhynchos (common mallard)
Lineage: Eukaryota; Metazoa; Chordata; Aves; Anseriformes; Anatidae
Description: lncRNA (ENSAPLG00000020584.1)
Source: RNAcentral
UCGGACAUGGGGACAGGGACAUGGACACAGGGACAGGGGGAUGGAGGGGUAUAGGAACAGGUGGAUAUGGGGACAGGGGGACACAGGGACACGGGGACAUAGCAUAUGGGGACAUGGGGAUUUGGGGACACAGGGAUUUGGGGACGUGGGGACGGAGGGACAUGGACACGUGGACAGGGGGAUGGAGGGACAUGGGGACAUGGGGUCAUGAGGAUUUGGGGACACGGGGAUGGACGGACAUGGGGACAUGGGGACACAGGGACAUAACAUAUGGGGACACAUGGAUAUGGGGCCAUGGGGAUGCAGGGACACGGGGACAUGGGGACACGGGGAUUUGGGGACACAGGGCUGUAGGGCCACGCGGAUAUGGGGCCAUGGGGGACAUGGGGACAUGGGGACGUGUGGCCACCCCGCUGCGGUCCCGCAGUGCUGGUUCGGCGCGGCCCCGACGGGAAGGCGCAGCUCGUGCUGCUGGACCACGGCCUCUACGAGUUCCUGAGCGAGAGGGACCGCAGCGCGCUGUGCCAGCUGUGGCGUGCCAUCGUGCUGCGCGAUGACGCCGCCAUGAGGAGCCGCUCGGCCGAGCUGGGCGUCAAGGGUGAGGUGACCCCCGGGGGUGUCCCCAUGGGGCCCUAAUCCCACCCCUUAGGGGCCAGAAUCCCGCCUUUUAGUGCCCUAAUCCCAAUUUUGGGUGUCAUAAUCCCAAAUUUGGGUGCCAUAAUCCCACUUCUAGAGCCAUAAUCCCAAUUUUGAGAGCCAUAAUCCCAUUUUUGGGUGCCAUAAUCCCAAUUUUGGGGGCCACAAUCCCACUUCUAGAGCCAUAAUCCCAUUUUUGGGUGCCAUAAUCCCAAUUUGGGGUGCCGUAAUCCCACUUCUAGAGCCAUAAUCCCAACCUUCGGUGCCAUAAUCCCACCCUUGGCACAAUAAUCCUACCCUUUAGUGCCAUAAAACCAAUUUUGGGUGCUGUAAUCCCACCCUUUGAUGCCAUAAUCCCAGUUUUUGGUGCUGUAAUCCCAAUUUUGGGUACCAUAAUCCCAUCCCUUGGGUACCAUAAUCCCAACCUUUGGUGCCAUAAUCCAACCCCUCAGGUGCCACAGCCCUGUCCCCCUGCCCUAUGAUCCUCGGGAUGCUGUAGCCCCAUCCUCAGCCCAUUCCCAACCCCGUCUUCCUGCCCUGUGCCCCUCAGGGUUCUGCAGCUCCCUGGGGCACCAUAAUCCCUCCCUGCUGGGUGCCGUAAUCCCCCCUUUGGGUGUCAUAAUCCAACACUUGGGUGCCAUAAUCCCACUCGGGGUGCCACGGGAUGCCAUAAUCCCCCAUUUGGGUGCCAUAAUCCCCCCUUAGGGUGCCAUAAUCCCUCCUUUGGGUGUCAUCAUCCCACCUUUGGGUACCAUAAUCCAA